RNAcentral lists this ribosomal RNA (468 nucleotides) under uncultured bacterium. RNAcentral describes it as "partial 16S ribosomal RNA". It matches the Rfam family "Bacterial small subunit ribosomal RNA", at positions 28 to 507 of the family's 1533-position model. The record is from RNAcentral.
GACGAACGCUGGCGGCGUGCUUAACACAUGCAAGUCGAACGGAAAGACCCUGCUUUUGUGGGGUGCUCGAGUGGCGAACGGGUGAGUAACACGUGAGUAACCUGCCCUUGACUUUGGGAUAACUUCAGGAAACUGGGGCUAAUACCGGAUAGGAGCUCCUGCUGCAUGGUGGGGGUUGGAAAGUUUCGGCGGUUGGGGAUGGACUCGCGGCUUAUCAGCUUGUUGGUGGGGUAGUGGCUUACCAAGGCUUUGACGGGUAGCCGGCCUGAGAGGGUGACCGGCCACAUUGGGACUGGGAUACGGCCCAGACUCCUACGGGAGGCAGCAGUGGGGAAUAUUGCACAAUGGGCGGAAGCCUGAUGCAGCAACGCCGCGUGCGGGAUGACGGCCUUCGGGUUGUAAACCGCUUUCGCCUGUGACGAAGCGUGAGUGACGGUAAUGGGUAAAGAAGCACCGGCUAACUACGUG